RNAcentral lists this long non-coding RNA (2766 nucleotides) under Gallus gallus (chicken). Lineage: Eukaryota; Metazoa; Chordata; Aves; Galliformes; Phasianidae. The record is from RNAcentral.
GGCCGGGGAUGCUGGUUGUGAGACAGGGCUGCGGCAGGGCUGGGCUGUGGGGCUGAGGAGCAGGGCUGGGGGCUGGGGGCUGGGGGCUGUGUGCUGGGCCCCCACGGGGGCUCUGCGGCAGGGCAGCCUCCGACGCGGUGUUCCCGAAGGCAGCCCUGCUCCUGAGGGGCUGGAAGCAGAGGAAGGGAAAUCCGCCUUGUCCCGGGGGUAACCUCCUAAACCCAAGCGGAGAACUGAGGCUGCUUCGGGCUGUUUAACGCAACAAAAGCCUUCGCUUUCGGACACUGUUGAAAUAACGCAGGGCUCAGACACUUCCCCUCCUUCAUGGAAACGGAUCGUCGUGCUUCAGAGUCUGCCCUGCCGCUUUCGGCCGAAAAAGGGCCGAGGAGCUAUGGAGCGGGCGUGAACCGAACUGCCCUCCAGCUCUCAGCUCACAGAGACGUGGGAAGUCGCAAUCAUGAAAGAAACGAACGUGGGAAAUGAGCGCAGAAGCCCGGAGCGGCUCAGACGGCUCCCACAGCCCGCAGAGCCCGGCGCUGUGCGCUCCUGGCACCGCCCGGCCGUGCGGCUCUCGCUGCCGGCUGUUGUCUCCCAGCCCUUUCCGCCCCGCUGCUCAGGGCUCGGUCCGAAUCCUUUUGCUCGACAGCGAAAGAACAAAAAUGAGAGAUCUGAGCGCUGUGUUCGCUGUUGGGAACCGUGUUUAAAAAUACCCACUUCGAGACCAAACACGCCGUGGAGGAAAUCGAAUUGCUGAGCUUGUGGCUACCAGUGGAGUGUUAGGAGGCACGUGUUAACAGGGCACAUGCAGUUCACUGAACCCCGAGCACUGAAAUGUAACUCAUCUCCUGUGAGAUCUUACAUAAUUCUCCCUGUCAGAAGAGCAUGUUGCCAUUUGGAGAUGGAUGGAUGUGGACCUGGUCUGUGUACAGCCCCUCUCACGUGAACUGAACCUGAUAAAUUCAGGCCGAUGUUUGAAAAAAAAGGCCGUGAAAGUGUGGCCACAGUCACAGCGUUUUCAGAUACCUUUGAACUGUCAGCAGGCUCCAUUUCUGAUUUCCAUCAUCCCUUUAUGAUUAUUAUCACUGCUCACAAUUGCAAACUCUUCCCAAAACCUACAGAAGUCACCUGCCUUGAAGUCUUCUUUCCCGUGCUGGCAUUUCCUUUUUGUGAGGAGUGGCUGUUGGAGCUGGGGCUGUUUAGGCUGGGGAAAGGAGACUGAGGGGAGACCUUAUUGCUCUCUUUCAGUAUCUGAAAGGUGCUUACAGCGAGAGCGGGGUAGGUCUCUUCUCACUGGCGACAGGUGACAGGAUGAGGAGAAAUGGCCUCCAGUUGUGCCAGGGUAAGUUUGGGUUGGAUAUCAGGAAACACUUCUUUACAGAAAGGGCUGCUAAACACUGGAAUAGGCUCCCCAGGGAGGUGGCUGAGUCACCAUCAAUGGACGUGUUUAAAGACCGUUUGAGUGUGGUGCUCAGGGACGUGAUUUAGCAGGGGUUGUUAGGGUAGGAUGGUUAGGCUGUGGUUGGACUCGAUGAUCUUUAAGGUCUUUUCCAACCUGAGCGAUUCUAUGAUUCUGUGAUUCUAUGGCGAAGCACAAGCAGCAUGGAGCUAUUUUCUCUGUAAUAUCACAAGCACGUACAACCCUUUUAACGGGCAAGCGUAGUUCAUGUGCUGAAUAAUGCCAAUCUUCGUGCGUUUCGCUGUUUUCCAAUGGAAUCUCUUCGGAAGCGGCCGUCGUUCUUUUCUCCGGAGUUCGGUGCCCCCUGCUGGCCGCUCUGCUGCCGGGGAUGCCCGCCGUCCCCGCGGCUCAGGAGCUGCCCAGCCCGGCCUGCCUCCCAGGCGGCCGCAGGAGAAGCUGGGGGUGCCUUCCAGCUCCUGGGAGGUGCUGCUUAAAGAUGCCUUUGAAUUCUGUUUUAUUUUCAUUCCUUUUUGUUCCCUAUUCGCUGCGAGGAAGCUGGACUGGAUGACCUUUAAUGCCGCCUUCCGACUCAAACGAUUCUGGGAUGAAUCUGUGAUUUGACUUUUGGGUUGCAUGAGGAGUCUUGGCUGGAUAUUUGAUGUCUUUUUGUCAGCACAGCGCUUCAUUAAACAGAAAAAAAGAGCCACCCGGAUGAGUAGUUAUGUUGAUCAUCUCAUCUGUGCUGCGCCCUGAAAGGGCAGAAACAACGACCUAAGAAAGGUGAUGCAGCAACAAUAUUUGAAGAAACCAGUCCCAUACUGAAUAUCAGGACAGAGAAGACUGAUGCUGGAAACUGCUGUCCUGUAAGUCUAACACUUCUAUCUCGUGUAAAAUGUCUGUGAAGUGAGUUGUCCAUAUUAAGAGAGAGAACCACUUUCUUAACUCCCAUAUGACAGCUGAUCUAUGAGCAAAAGUGGCAUGGACUUAUGCAGGAUAGCUGUCACCAUUGGUAGUAUCCCACUAGCAGACAAUGGCUGGAGAAACAUAGACAAUGUGGAUAGAUGUUCAGUACAGUGUUCUAUGCUCCAUUUCACUCACAAAAUUAAGGCAUUCAGUGUAGAAAAUGAAAUCUGUUAUGGACUGAAUAUUGACCAUAAAUAAUGCUCAAGAUGAUAAAGCAGAAAUAUAGGACACUGCAGGAAUCUUGUAAUGCCCGAACUUGGUUUACACAUUCAUUUUUGGAUGUAUAAUAAAAAUCAAAAGCAAAGCGCUCCCAGUUUCAGAAGAUUCUAAUCCUGAAAUGAGGUGAAAUGAGAAAUGAAAAUGGCAAAAAUCAGGAAAACAGGGGUAAGACAGAAGAAAAAAAGGAG